This 972-nucleotide long non-coding RNA is filed under the name Equus caballus (horse). Its description in RNAcentral is "lncRNA (ENSECAG00000052604.1)". The record is from RNAcentral. Lineage: Eukaryota; Metazoa; Chordata; Mammalia; Perissodactyla; Equidae.
GCAAUGUCGCCAAACCCAAUUUCUCUCACGGUUCGGGCUCUGUUUGCCAAAUGAGGACUCAGUGUUCAAACUAGCUCUUCCAUGGGGAAGCAGAUGUGACGCCGCAGUUGGGAGGACCGCGCGAGCGCCAGAAAAUAUCUCAGCCCUGCUCAGUGGCCGGUCGGGAACGCGGCGCUCUGAUUGGCCGGCCGGAGCCUCCACGCCGUCGUCAGCCCUGGGAGCGGAGUCUGCGCGUGAAACGCCCGGAUGCAGAAUAGGGGCGGGGUCUUCUCCAGAGGAGCGCUGCAGUAUAGAAUCCAGCCGCAGCAGCUCCAAAAACGUUAGACGUUCGCGAAGAAAGAUACACAAUGAUGUGUCCUGAUAAGUAAAUUGAAGCUGAUCAAUAUUGUUGUGCAAGGUGACGUAAGGGCAAAGCCUCUCCGGGUGAGCCCCGUCUGAUUUUAACCGCACCUCUAGCGCUCAGUUCCCAAGCGCCUGGACGGCCUCCACCUCUCCUUCUGCCUCGCGGCUUCCUUGUCUCUGCUCAGGAGAUAUCAAGCUGAAACCCAGCGGGAGAGGAGCUCGCCAGUCACAGCAAGAAGACCGUGGUUUUGAAAAGGAGAGAACUCUCCCAUCAAAUAGGAAAAAUAUAUCAAUUUUAGACAGAGGAGAGCUAAGAAAGUUUUAGAAAGGAGAGAACCAAGGCGCAGAGAGGUGGCGUGGCUUACCCUAGAGCGCAUACUGAGUCGGAGUUUCUCCCACUAGCUCCAUGUAGAGAUGGCUCCUCUUCACCACUAUAAGACCAGCAAGAAGGACCUAGAUGGUAGAGGAAUUGUCUUCCUCCCCUAAACCAGAAUUCACCAUCCAUCACAGAGGCAGACAACCAGGGACAUGGAUCUGUGGAUUCUUUUAUCUCACCAUCCACCUCUCUGCAAGGAGCCUCACAAGGCCAAACACAGGCUGGUGGGAAGGUGCCAACCAGCAAGGCUACAU